GGGAGAUGGGAACUUCGGUUGCAUACGGAGAUUGACUGAAUUGGUCUGCAUGUCUGCUCGCCCUGACGCCCUUGGGCUUAGAUCUCGCGGGCCUGUAUUCGACCCACACGG
Triticum aestivum (bread wheat) is the source of this 111-nucleotide non-coding RNA. NCBI's taxonomy places the organism in Eukaryota, Viridiplantae, Streptophyta, Magnoliopsida, Poales, Poaceae. The record is from Rfam.